This 1275-nucleotide long non-coding RNA is filed under the name Catharus ustulatus (Swainson's thrush). Its description in RNAcentral is "lncRNA (ENSCUSG00005007616.1)". The record is from RNAcentral. Lineage: Eukaryota; Metazoa; Chordata; Aves; Passeriformes; Turdidae.
AUGUGGCGGGGCUCGGCGCUCUCUGGGGCGGAGCCGGUUCUUGGCGCCCCUGCUGGCUCCUCCUCCUCCUCUGGGGGUGUGGCCAAGUCCAAGCCACGCCCAUUUCCUUUUAUGGGCGCAGAGGGCAUGGCCUCCUCGAUCCCGGCCUCUGAUUGGUCGCUGCUCCUCUGGGGGCGGGGCUUGGAGCCAGAACAGGCCCCGCUCCCUCUGCUCUCGGCCAAUCGGCGACUGCGCCGAACCUGGGGGGGCGGGGCCAGGGUGGGGAUCCCAGAAUGCAACGGGAGCCCCAAAAAUUCAUCCAAAAUCCCCCAAAUUCACCCCAAAAUUCCAUCUGGGAACCCCAAAUUCACCCAAAAUCCCCCCAAAUUCACCCCAAAAUUCUAUCUGGAACCCCCAAAAAUUGAUCUGGGAACCCCAAAGCCCCCCAAAUUCCCCCCAAAUUUUCCCCAAAAUCCUCCCAGGGACCCCCAAUUUCCACCUGGACCCCCCCAAAUUCUACCUAGAAACCCAAAAAUUCCCCAAAUUCACCCAAAAGCCCCCAAAAUCAACCCCAAAAUCCUCUCAAAUCCCCCCCAAAAUCCCCAAAAUUCAUCCCAAGAAUUCACCUGGGAACCCCAAAAUCCCUCCCAGGAUCCCCCAAAAUCAGCUGGGAACCCCAAAAAUCCCCCAAAUUCCCCCCAAAUUCCAUCUGCAACCCCCAAAAUCUCCCAAAAUUCAUCCAAAAAUUCACCUUGGAGACCCCAAAUUCCCCCCAAAUUCCCCUCAGGGACCCGAAAUUCACCUCUGGGGCUGGGCCUGGUGCAGCCCCAACAUCUGGAUCCGGCGGCUCCGGCUCCACAUCUGGAAUCCUGGGCAGCUCAGGGGGCCCAACAUCUGGAUUUGGGGCUGGGAACAUCUGGGUGGCCACAUCUGGGUAGGACCUGUCAUCCUCCUCCUCCACAUCUGGAUCUGACCCAUUGUCCUCCUCCACAUGUGGAAUUCGGGUGGUCUUGGGGUUGUUUUGAGCCGUUUUGGGGUCCCAACAUCUGGAUUUGGGGCCAGGAACAGCUGGGUGGCCACAUCUGGAUCCGGCUCUCCCUCCACAUCUGGCUCUGGUGCGUUCUCCCUCACAUCUGGAAUUUUGGGUGGGUUUGGGCUAAUUUUGAGUCGCUUCGGGCUCCCAACAUCUGGAUUUGGGUGCAGGAACAUCUGGGUGGCCACAUCUGGAUCCAGUUCCUCUUCCUCCUCCACAUCUGGAAUUUUGGGGCCUCUCGGGGGCGUUUUUGGGCUUUCUGA